Chrysemys picta bellii (western painted turtle) is the source of this 3159-nucleotide RNA transcript. It is a transcript of the gene named carboxypeptidase Q, with no coding region annotated. The record is from RefSeq and is a predicted model, not a curated record. Lineage: Eukaryota; Metazoa; Chordata; Testudines; Emydidae.
GGCCGUGUGGGCCAGGCCCCGAAGGAGAGGCGGCCGAGCUGGACCUAGCUGCGGGUCCUCCACAGGGAGGAGAAGGCGACUUCGCUCGUCACCCUCCGUUAGCGUCGGUUCUAGCGGCCGGCCAGGGUCUGCCGGCCUCCCCCGGCGGGACUCGCAGCGGCUGAGCCUGGCGCUCAGGGCGGGCCAGGCUCUGAGCUCGGCCGGAUGGGGCAGCGCCGCGCGGGAAGCUCUAGCAGCGCCGAGUGGCUCAGUCCCGCCGCCCUUUGAUCUGCCGCGUAGGUGAUGCCGCCUGCAGCUGCAGGCUCCUGUCCGAGCCAGGGCGUCAGGCUGCGCCGCCGCGGGGCUCUGGGACCGGCGGGUCUGCGCGGGGAAGGGCAUCUGAGCAAAAGAAAAGGAAGGAAAAUGAAAUUCCUACUCUUAAUAGCUUUCAUCCAUUUCUUACCACAAUGCACCGGGAAACCUUUAAGCUUGGAUGAACACCAACAUUGCCACCAACAAACAUUCAAAGAAAUUAAAAGAGAAAUAGCUGGGUAUUCCGAUAUUGCCAAGGCUAUUAUCAACCUUGCUGUUUAUGGCAAUGCCCAGAACAGAUCCUAUGAAAGACUGGCACGUUUCGUUGACACCAUUGGACCUAGACUCAGCGGCUCCAAAAAUCUAGAGAUGGCCAUCAAAUACAUGUUCAGUGUCCUGCAGGAGGAUAGGCUGGAAAAUGUCCACCUGGAACCUGUAAAAGUGCCUCACUGGGAGAGGGGAGAAGAGUCUGCUAUGAUGUUGGCACCAAGGAACCACAGCAUUGUUAUAUUAGGACUUGGAAGCAGUGUUGCAACUCCUCCAGAAGGAAUUACUGCUGAAGUCCUAGUGGUCACCUCUUUUGAUGAACUGCACAAAAGAGCUCAAGACGCCAAGGGGAAGAUUGUUGUUUACAACCAGCCUUUCAUCAGUUAUGAAGAAACUGUCAAAUAUAGAUUACUGGGAGCAGUUGAAGCUGGUAAAGUUGGAGCGGUGGCAUCCCUUAUCAGAUCCGUUGCUUCCUUUUCUAUUAAUAGCCCUCACACUGGGUGGCAGCAGUACCAAUCUGAUGUGCCGAAGAUUCCUACAGCUUGUAUUUCAAUGGAAGAUGCCGAAAUGAUGGCACGGAUGUCUUCCCGAGGCACCAGGAUUGUUGUGACCCUGAAGAUGGAAGCCAAGACCUAUCCCGAUACUGGUUCCUUUAACACUGUGGCAGAAAUAGUUGGGAGCAAGUACCCAGAACAGGUUGUACUGGUCAGCGGACAUCUGGACAGCUGGGAUGUUGGGCAAGGAGCCAUGGAUGAUGGUGGUGGAGCAUUUAUAUCCUGGGAAGCAUUAUCUCUUAUUAAGGAUCUUGGGCUCCGCCCCAAGAGAACUCUGCGGUUGGUGCUGUGGACUGCGGAAGAACAAGGAGGGGUGGGUGCUGAGCAGUACUACCAGUUACAUAAGGGUAACAUCUCCAACUUUGACAUCGUCAUGGAGUCUGAUUCGGGUACCUUCAUGCCGAUGGGCCUGGCUUUUACAGGCAGUGAUAAAGCUCGUGCCAUCCUGAAGGAGAUUAUGCAGCUGCUGCAGCCUAUCAAUGUUACAAACAUUUACGAAAAUGGUGGUGAAACAGACACUGAAUAUUGGGUGAGAGAUGGAGUACCAGGUGCCAGCUUGCGUGAUGACAUCAGUAAAUACUUCUGGUUUCAUCAUACUCAAGGGGACACAAUGACAGUUCAGGAUCCAAACCAGAUGAAUCUCUGUGCUGCUGUUUGGACUGUCGUCUCCUAUGUAAUUGCUGACAUGGAAGAGAUGUUGCCAAGCUGCACAGUAAUGGACAGAGCAGGCAUUCAUGAUAUAUAUGUCUACUGCCUUUAGUCUGGGAGAUGCCACUAUAAUGCUUCUAAAUCUGUUUGAUGUGUAAGAUUAAAUACGACAUCAAUGUUCAGCAAACUUUGCGGACUUUGCAAAUACCCAGGAACUGUGCUCUGCCGCAAUGAAGAGGGAGACAGUUAUGCAAAUAAAAAUGGGUCCCACCCUUGUCCAUCAUGCAGUACAGCAAUUGAAAUCAAGGAUGUACCUUCUCUCUACUUCUGUUCUCUGUGGUUACUGAACUUUUAGCACAUAUAAUGAAGACUCAUCCCUCACAAAGCACUUAAGGGUUAGUCGUAUAUCACAGGAUUCCCCGCUAUAUCCUAUUUUUAUUACAAACUCAUCCUGCUUUUAUUUCAUUUUUUUUACUAGGCACAAUUAAUAACAAUGAGAACUUGCCUGGAUAUAAAGUUAAUGUUAAAUUCUUGUGGUGCCGAUGACUGAAGGAAGACUAUUUCCUGAUAACUUACAUUUCAAACUACCAAAUAUAUCAAUUAUGUGCCUUUUCACGUGCCAAUCCAUGGCUCUUCACUUGAUAUAUGACAUUAAUUGCAUCUCUUUGCUGAAGGGGAAUCGCAUCAGAACUUGGCUAUAGGAAACUAGUCUUUGCACUUUAAGGUGAAACUAAAAUUGUAUUUUUAAAACAAAUCAUCACCUUGAAUUAUGUUUGUCAAACAUUUCCUUUUGGAGACUGCUUCAAACAUUGCCACAAUUAAUGUAGCUAUGCGCAAGUUAGCCAAACUUAAGUAGUAAGAGCCAAUUUACUUAUUCUUUGUACUGAGGUUUUUCUUUGUAAUAAGCUUCAUGGCCGGGCUUGCUCUCACUCACUGCUGUGUAGCUUGUAAGUUAGCAGUAGAGUGAAAUUGGUGCCCAGUGUGCCUAACCAGAAGUUUCAAGCACCAAAAAUCUGGCCUUUCAUUUGCCUUCAGGAAAGGGAUCGUGUUGCUAGGAAUCCAAAUUAUCAUGAUUUAUUUAUACAAUGUACAGCAACUCUCACAAUUAAAGAAAACCCCACAAGUGUUUUGCUCCCUUUUCUCCCUUGUAAAGUGUACCAACUUUGUGGUAUCACUGCAGCAAUCCAUGAAUAAUGUAUGAAAUGAAAAAACCUCCUGCAGAGGGAAUAUAUAUACAGUGCUUUGCAGUUGUUGUAUCUAUACUAUUUGCAUCUCACUAAAAUAUAUCUAGAAAUGCCGUACAGGACUAAAAGUGUGCCUCUGCCUUUCUACUUCUGGACAAGAUUUUAGAGAGCUACCAAACUUUAAAAACAUCCUAGCCCUUAAUAAAAUGCUUUAU